Molecule: ribosomal RNA, 383 nt
Filed under: uncultured bacterium
Lineage: Bacteria
Description: bacterial SSU rRNA
Rfam family: Bacterial small subunit ribosomal RNA
Source: RNAcentral
GACGAACGCUGGCGGCGUGCUUAACACAUGCAAGUCGAACGGUCUCCAUCCCGUGGCAACACGGGGGAAGAGAUAGUGGCGAACGGGUGAGUAACACGUGAGAAACCUGUCCUGGUCUCUGGGAUAACAGUCGGAAACAACUGCUAAUACCGGAUGCCGUCGGAGCGUCGCAUGGCGCGCUGACGAAAGGGUUACUGGAUCAGGAGGGUCUCGCGGCCUAUCAGCUUGUUGGUGGGGUAACGGCCUACCAAGGCAUCGACGGGUAGCUGGUCUGAGAGGAUGAUCAGCCACACUGGGACUGAGACACGGCCCAGACUCCUACGGGAGGCAGGCAGUGGGGAAUCUUGCGCAAUGGGCGAAAGCCUGACGCAGCAACGCCGCGU